RNAcentral lists this long non-coding RNA (2402 nucleotides) under Mus musculus (house mouse). Its description in RNAcentral is "long non-coding RNA chr17:86976844-86979246". Lineage: Eukaryota; Metazoa; Chordata; Mammalia; Rodentia; Muridae. The record is from RNAcentral.
UUUUUUUUUUUUUUUUUAUUUCUUUUGUCUCCUCUCAACCCUCCCUCCUCAAGACUGGGUUUCUCUGUGUAGCCCUGGCUGCCCUGGAACUCACCGUGUAGACCAGGCUGGCCUCACCAGCUUUCUUGUUUGUUUCUUUCAGACUUGAUUGGCUUUUCUUUCUUCUUCAGAAUUUCAAAGGCAUACCUUUUUCUUUUCUAGCUUCUGUUAUGUUCUUUGAAUCUCAAGCCAACUGGGUCUUGAUCUGUCUUCAGGAACCUGGCUCUGGAAACGGUUAGAAAGGCAGAAAGCGUCUGCUGUCGGGUAGGGUCCGGCUGGUAGCUGGACACCCCCUGCAGUCUGAAAAUUCAUAUUCUGCUUCUGGGAAACACUUUGAUUCAUUUCUUUUAUUUCUCCACUUCCUCUUCCUUUACUUCUCUUACCUAGGUUUAAAGGCCAGGCUUCCUGGAACAUCUUCUUAAUUUCCUUAUAUUUUACUUUCUCUGUUCAUUUUGCUCUAUCUUAGGGUUAUUUCCUCAAUCUUAUUAUUUGCUGGUAUAUCCCUAUUUUGUUUUUUAAAUGUGAUUCUAUUUUUAACGUUGAACAGACUUGCUUGUUUUCUGGGUGUUCCUUUUUCCUGCCGCUGUUGCUCAACGAGGGGUUUUUGUUCUUUUGAGACAGUCUCACUAUGUGGCCCUGUUGGUCUGAACUCACUAUGUAGAUCAGGCUGGCCUCAGACUCAGAGAUCUACAUGUCUCUACCUCCUAAAUGCUGGGAUUAAAGGCAUGCACCACCACACUUGGUUUUCAUAACACACCUAGUAGUUUUUUGAUGGAAUAUUCUCUUAAUUUCUCUAAGGAUGUUAAUGAUAAUUCCUUUGAAGUUUGAUUAACUACAGUAUAUUGAUCUAGCUUAUUAUUUGUUCUUGAUUUUUUUUUAUUAUGUCUAAUCUACAAACUGAAUUUUAUCAUAGGUAUGUGUAUAUAGGAAAAAUACAGUAUAUUAGGCCCCACACUUCCCUGUGUUUGAAAGUCCAGGAGUAUUAUGCUACAGAGCGACUGAGUUUAGUGACUGUGGUAUGUGUGCCUUUGGGAGUGACUGAGUCUAGUUAAGGAAGCUUUUCUUCCAUCAAGCCAAUCGAUGUCUGUGUCUCUGUGGGGUGCUGGCUGUAGAUACAGCUUAGUCCUUUGAAUGGACCUUGCUUUCUUGUAUCUUUGUUUUUUAGAAGUUUUUAGCCUUUCAUCUCAACCCCUACCACUAAAGAAGUCUAACUUGGAAUUUCUGAAGGUUCUACUCCUUAGCACAUAGGAGAUGGGUACGUGAGGGGGUUGUUUAUGUGUGGGCUGGGCUAUUGCUCUUUAUUGGGAGGAGGCUGUCUUGUGCACUCUGGGAUGUGAGGAAGAGCCACCCAUGUCUGUUGUCCUCCCCACAUGUGCUAACAGUACCCUCCUCCAGCUGUGGCAAUCAAAAUGUCUCCAGACAGUGACAUGUGUUCUCUCGGGGCACCACCACCUGUACUCACUUCAUGACCUGUCUAAAUCUUUUCAUUUUGGAAUUCUAUAAAGUCUAUAGGUUUUUGUCUUUGCUCUAGAGCUAAGACAUUGUCUUAGAUUUCCAUCGCUAUGAACAGACAUCGUGACCAAGGCAACCCUCAUAAAGAGAAACAUUUCAUUGGGGCUGGCUUACAGGUUCAGAGGUUCAGUCCAUUAUCAUCAUAACAGGAAGCCUGGAAGCCUGCAGGCAGACAUGAUGCUGGAGAAGGAGCUGAGAGUUCUGCAUCUUGAUUCAAAGGAAACCGGGAGAGACUGACAUCCUCAGACAGCUAAGAGGAAGCUCUCUUCCACAGCGGGUAGAGCCUGAGCGUAGGAGAUGACUGCCCAAGCUCACCCACAGUGACACACUUCCUCUAACAAGACCACACUUCCUAACAGUACCACUCUCUGUGGGCCAAGCAUAUUCAACCCACCACAUUUAUGUUUCCUAGAAAAGAAUUUAUCCAACGGCUGUAUGAGUUGGGACAGAAUUACCAGUGUCCCGGAAAUAGGUGAACAAAGCAGCUACGAGGGCUUGAUUUUAAGCACAUAUUCCCCACCCUUUGCAAGGUUAAAGAGUUUAUUGUGGUAGAGAAGGGGAUCAGAAAUUAAACCAUCCUCACCUUUGUCCUAUAUUCAGAAGAGCACACUGCCCCAGCCUCACCCCGCCAGGCCCUGGGUCCUGUGAUGAUGCAAACAGCCGCCUGCAAGAGCCCCGCUCUGCGGGCUGCCUUAGGAGAUGCAGCCCUGGAUUUGCUAAGCUGCUCCAGUUUGUACUUCUUGCAUCUAGAUUCUAAAAUUUUGUGCUGUUAUCUCUUUCCAAUUGGGCUUUUCCAUGUAGUUUUAUGCCUUAAGGAAACAACAACAACAACAAAACAAAACACCCCCCCC